UCUUAUAGAUUAGGCAAUAAC
Molecule: non-coding RNA, 21 nt
Filed under: Caenorhabditis elegans
Lineage: Eukaryota; Metazoa; Nematoda; Chromadorea; Rhabditida; Rhabditidae
Source: RNAcentral